This 1650-nucleotide unclassified non-coding RNA is filed under the name Leishmania donovani. Its description in RNAcentral is "gene:LdHU3.27.1470(CDS-product:hypothetical_prote in_conserved)". The record is from RNAcentral. Lineage: Eukaryota; Euglenozoa; Kinetoplastea; Trypanosomatida; Trypanosomatidae.
AGCCACACAUAGGCACACUCGCACUAGCGGGCCCGUUCCCGCCCUUCCGCUCCUGCUUCUUCUGACGUUUUGAUCUUCUUGACUUGAAAAGACUCUUAUAAAACUCUAAGGCAAGCCCCUCCCCCCGUUUCUCCUCACAUUUGUUUCUUCACUCGUGCCCAUUGUCCCACAGCGUGACAUUCGCCUAGUCUUCCACCCACCCCCUUCCUCCGCUUACAAAACAAGCGAACAAGAAACCCCGCCCGUGCGCGCAAGCGCUCUCGCUUGCGGUUCACCUCUGUUCUCGUUGUGUGGAAAGGUCUGUGGGCCUUGUGUCUGUCGCCCUCUCUCCUCCACCUGUGUUACCACCAAUGUUCUCGCAAGGGAAGCAGGGCUCGCUGUUUUCCCUCGGCCGAGGCCCCGGCGGCAUGACGGCCAACGACAAGACGAGAAACAAGGCGCUUACACAGGCGGAGAAGUACGAGCAGGCGCUUGUCACGGCGAAGGUGUUUCUGGAGGACAGUCGGGCACGUAUGACCAAGUCCAUGGACAAGUACAGCGCUGUUGUGAACAGCAACUACUGGUUCUACGGGUACUUUGGCGGCAACAUGGUGGCGACCAUGGCGGCCUGUUUGGCGCUGGGCAACCGCUGGGCCUUUUUCAGGUCAUACAGCGGCUGGAUCGCUGUCUUCGGCGGCUACUUUGGCGGCAGGGCGUGCCUCGCCGCCCACUCGAGCAUGCUGCUUGGCGGCGUCGUGGCGCAGCUGAAUCAUGAGAUCGAAGAGGCCAAGCGGAUGGACGAGCAGACGGACCACAUUGUGCCAGACUACCUGCGUGAGGCGGAGCGGCUAACGCAGGUGAAGUACGAGCUGGUGCCGACGCUGCCAGAGGCGGUCGAGGCACGCGCUCACCACACAGAGCAGACCCUCGACGACCGCGCCGACGCACUCAUCGAGGCUUAUAUGAAGCGCAAGGAGGCCCUCGGGAAGUAGAGGGACUGUAACGGAGCCGACGAUAACAACGCAGCAAAACAACGGAAGGGGAGGGGUAGGAUAACGCUGCUAUUCGUUCGACUCGGACGACAGUUGUGCCUGCCGUGGUCACUGCCAUCUCGGUGCCUCCUUCACAGGCAUGUACAAGAGCAGACGCUUCGUGCGCUUCCCUUUUAGUUGUCUCGUUAGUCCGUUGUCGCAUGGAGUACAUCUUGCACUGUCUAGACACGAAGACAUCGCUCACGUCAGCGACGGCUUUUCCAUGCAGCAAAACGCACGUAUCUCACAGAUUCUCCUCCUUUAUCGUGCGUUCGCCGCCAAGCAUCGCAGGGUACGCGUAUAAAACAAAACAAGAGAACGGGGGGGGCAUGCACGACUUGGUCACCCUGCACGGAUCUCGUUGAUUCAUCAGCGUUGCUGCUUCGACACACCACCGCUUUCUUACUGUGUGCCAGCCAGUGGCCCUUUCAGCAAGCCUCCUUGCGCUGCUAGCGGCAUGAUGACGAAUCUCUCUCGGUCUGGCAGCUACUUGAGGGGGGAGGGAGCAUACGUGCCCGACGAGGGGUGCACGCAUAUUUUCAUGCCCCCCCCCCUCCUCCACCUCGCCCACCGCUGCUUCCUCUCGUGGCCAUUCUGUGUUCUCUCUCGCACCACGUGAAACCAAACAAACAACAAACAG